RNAcentral lists this ribosomal RNA (1495 nucleotides) under uncultured prokaryote. RNAcentral describes it as "partial 16S ribosomal RNA". It matches the Rfam family "Bacterial small subunit ribosomal RNA". The record is from RNAcentral.
GAUGAACGCUAGCGGCAGGCCUAACACAUGCAAGUCGAGGGGUAACAGGGAGUGCUUGCACUCUGCUGACGACCGGCGCACGGGGGCGUAACGCUUAUACAAUCUGCCUUACACUGGGGGAUAGCUUCCGGAAACGGAAAUUAAUACCCCAUAACAAUGAGAGAUCGCAUGAUUUUUCAUUUAAAGCUCCGGCGGUUUAAGAUGGUCAUGCGUCCCAUUAGUUUGUUGGUGAGGUAACGGCUCACCAAGACUACGAUGGGUAGGGGGCCUGAGAGGGUGAUCCCCCACACUGGUACUGAGACACGGACCAGACUCCUACGGGAGGCAGCAGUGAGGAAUAUUGGUCAAUGGGCGAAAGCCUGAACCAGCCAUCCCGCGUGAAGGAUGAAUGCCCUAUGGGUUGUAAACUUCUUUUAUAUAGGAAUAAACCUUUCUACGUGUAGUGGACUGACGGUACCAUACGAAUAAGGAUCGGCUAACUCCGUGCCAGCAGCCGCGGUAAUACGGAGGAUCCAAGCGUUAUCCGGAUUUAUUGGGUUUAAAGGGUGCGCAGGCGGACUAAUAAUUCAGUGGUGAAAUCUCUCGGCUCAACCGAGAAACUGCCAUUGAUACUGUUAGUCUUGAGUACAGUUGUAGUGGGCGGAAUAUAGCAUGUAGCGGUGAAAUGCUUAGAUAUGCUAUAGAACACCGAUUGCGAAGGCAGCUCACUAAACCAAUACUGACGCUAAGGAACGAAAGCGUGGGGAGCGAACAGGAUUAGAUACCCUGGUAGUCCACGCCGUAAACGAUGAUCACUCGACAUUGGCGAUAAACUGUCAGUGUCCAAGCGAAAGUGUUAAGUGAUCCACCUGGGGAGUACGGUCGCAAGAUUGAAACUCAAAGGAAUUGACGGGGGCCCGCACAAGCGGUGGAGCAUGUGGUUUAAUUCGAUGAUACGCGAGGAACCUUACCAGGGCUUAAAUGCAAGUUGACAGAUUGGGAAACCAGUCCUUCUUCGGACAAUUUGCAAGGUGCUGCAUGGCUGUCGUCAGCUCGUGCCGUGAGGUGUCGGGUUAAGUCCCAUAACGAGCGCAACCCCUAUCUUUAGUUGCCAGCGAUUCGGUCGGGGACUCUAAAGAAACUGCCAGCGCAAGCUGUGAGGAAGGUGGGGAUGACGUCAAAUCAUCACGGCCCUUACGUCCUGGGCUACACACGUGCUACAAUGGUAGAGACAGAGGGCAGCCACCACGCGAGUGGGAGCGAAUCCUUAAACUCUAUCUCAGUUCGGAUUGGAGUCUGCAACUCGACUCCAUGAAGCUGGAAUCGCUAGUAAUCGCGCAUCAGCCAUGGCGCGGUGAAUACGUUCCCGGGCCUUGUACACACCGCCCGUCAAGCCAUGGAAGCCGGGGGUGCCUGAAGUCGGUAACCGCAAGGAGCUGCCUAGGGUAAAACUGGUAACUAGGGCUAAGUCGUAACAAGGUAGCCGUACCGGAAGGUGCGGCUGGAACACCUCCUU